UGGGGAGACGGCCCGCGCGCUGUUCGAGAGGGUGCGCAGGUUCCGGGCGCACAGCGAGGAGGGCGACCUGGUGUACAAGGUCAGUGUCUUCUCCCUGCUCUGCUCAUUCUGCUCUACAGUGCUACACUGUGCUAGAGUGUACGACAUUGUACUGCAUUGUGUUUCAAAUUGCACUACAGUGCAUCAUAUUGAAUUGCACUGUGCUAAAUUGUACUGUGCAAUAGCAUACCAUGUGGUAUGGUGCUGUUCUAAAUUGCACUGUGCUAUAGUGUACUAUAUUGUAUUCCAUUUUGUUAAACUGCACCACACUACAGUGUACUAAAUUGCACUGUGCAAUAGUGCUCAAUAUUGAAUUGCACUGUGUUAUAGUGCACCAUAUUGUAUUGUGCUGUACUAAAUUUCACUGUGCUACAGUGUAUUAUAUUGGAUUGCAGUGCGCUAAAUUGCACCGUGCUAAACUGCACAGUGCUAUAGCAUACCAUAUUGUAUUGCCCUGUGUUAAAUUGCUCCGUGUGGCACUGCAUUAUUGUGUACUAUAUUGUGUUACACUGUGUUGUAGUGUACUACAUUGUGACGCACGGUGCUGUAGUGCACUAUUUAAUGCUGACCUGACUGCACGUGGUAUUACUACUUGCUGAGCUCUGUACUGUGGUGCUGUGUCUCCCGAGGUGUAUGUGGCUCAGACGGUGUUCAAGGUUGUGAAGUUUGUGCUGAUCGUGAGCUACACCUCUCCCCUGCUGGGCUCCAUCUCCUUCACUCACGAGUGUCGGCCGCAGAUCCACGCGCUGACGGGCUACAGCGCCUUCCGCUGCACGCACGACCUGGCCAGCGUCCUGCGCAAGCUGCUGCUGUCCUACCUGGCCCUGGUGUGGCUGUACGGGCUGCUGGGGCUCUACACUCUCUGCUGGAUAUUCCGCAGGUCCCUGCGGGAGUACUCUUUCCAGCGCGUGCGUGAGGAGAGCUCGAUCCGCGACGUGCCGGACGUGAGGAACGACUUUGCCUUCCUGCUGCACCUGGCUGACCAGUACGACCCGCUGCCCGGCCAGCGGCUGGCCGUCUUCCUGUCGCCCGGCAGCGAGACGCGGCUGCUGGAGGAGAGCCUGGAGCAGCAGUGGGGUGCGGAGAGGCUGCGGGGCCUGGUGACCCGGGACCACCGCGGCCGCACCCAGCUGCACCUGUGUGGCCUGCCCCGCCUGCCACCUGCCCUCUUCUCCCUGGGCCAGCUGGAGGUGCUGAAGCUGGAGCUGAUCCCCGAGGCCAGGCUGACCGCACAGGUGUCCCGCAUGACCGCACUCCGGUACGGGACUGAAAGAGAGUGUGAGUGAGUGUGAGUGUGAGUGAGUGUGUGUGAGUGUGUGUGAGUGAGUGUGAGUGUGAGAGUGUGAGUGAGUGUGAGUGAGUGUGAGAGUGUGUGUCCUGUGAGCUGGAGGUGCUGAAG
RNAcentral lists this long non-coding RNA (1438 nucleotides) under Lepisosteus oculatus (spotted gar). RNAcentral describes it as "lncRNA (ENSLOCG00000022927.1)". The record is from RNAcentral. Lineage: Eukaryota; Metazoa; Chordata; Actinopteri; Semionotiformes; Lepisosteidae.